AGUGAACGCUGGCGGUAGGCCUAACACAUGCAAGUCGAACGGCCGCACAGUAAGAGCUUGCUCUUACGGGUGGCGAGUGGCGGACGGGUGAGGCAUACAUCGGCUUCUUCUUUUUCGUGGUGGACUACGUAGGGCCACUUCCGCUACUACCGCAUACGACCUACGGGUGAAUGCAGGGGAUCUUCGGACCUUGCGCGAUUGUAUUAGCCGAUGUCGGAUUAGCUAGUUGGCUGGGUAAAGGCCCACCAAGGCGACGAUCCGUAGCUGAUCUGAGAGGAUGAUCGGCCACACUGGAACUGAGACACGGUCCAGACUCCUACGGGAGGCAGCAGUGGGGAAUAUUGGGCAAUGGGCGAAAGCCUGAUCGAGCAAUACCGCGUGAGUGAAGAAGGCCUUCGGGUUGUAAAGCCCUUUUGUUGGGAAAGAAAAUCAGCAUAUGAAAACCCCGCUGUUCUGACGGUACCCAAAGAAUAAGCACCGGCUAACUUCGUG
Molecule: ribosomal RNA, 492 nt
Filed under: uncultured bacterium
Lineage: Bacteria
Description: partial 16S ribosomal RNA
Rfam family: Bacterial small subunit ribosomal RNA
Source: RNAcentral